This 268-nucleotide ribosomal RNA is filed under the name uncultured bacterium. Its description in RNAcentral is "partial 16S ribosomal RNA". It matches the Rfam family "Bacterial small subunit ribosomal RNA", at positions 94 to 354 of the family's 1533-position model. The record is from RNAcentral.
AGUGGCGAACGGGUGAGUAACACGUGGGGCAACCCUGCCCAAAAGAGGGGGAUAACACUUGGAAACAGGUGCUAAUACCGCAUAACCAUAGUUACCGCAUGGUAACUAUGUAAAAGGUGGCUAUACUACCGCUUUUGGAUGGGCCCGCGGCGCAUUAGCUAGUUGGUAGGGUAAAGGCUUACCAAGGCAAUGAUGCGUAGCCGAAUUGAGAGGUUGAUCGGCCACAUUGGGACUGAGACACGGCCCAAACUCCUACGGGAGGCAGCAG